UCUCCAUCACUUUCUCCAGGUUCACCUCCAUCGCUUUCUCCAGGUUCUCCUCCAUCACCCGUUGUUGUGUCACCAUCUCCGCAGCCACCGUGGUCCCCUACUCCAACUCCACCACAUUCUGGUCAGACACCACCGCCAACUCAUUCACCUCACGAGCCUCCGCCAACUCCUGAUCAUAGCUCAUCGCCAAAUUAUUCACCUCACGCGCCACCUCCAACUCCUGAACAUAGCUCAUCGCCAAAUUAUUCACCUCACGCGCCACCGCCAACUCCUAAUCAUAGCUCCCCGCCAAAUAAUUCACCUCACGCGCCACCCCCAACUCCUAAUCAUAGCUCACCGCCAAAUCAUUCACCUCACUGGCAAACGCCGCCACCACCACCACCUUCUCCAUAUCAUAGCUCACCGCCAACCCAUUCACCUAACUCACCCCCGCCACCGCCUUCUCCAUAUCAUACCUCACCGCCGGCGCCACCUGCCCAUUCACCAUCUCCUAGUAUAGAACCUCCUCCACACCAAUCACAACCAUCUCCUGGAGAGCAUUCACCUCCGCCCCCACCAGGGCCACAACUACCUCACCUGCCACCACCUUCCCCAUCUCCCCUGCCC
Molecule: long non-coding RNA, 606 nt
Filed under: Lotus japonicus
Lineage: Eukaryota; Viridiplantae; Streptophyta; Magnoliopsida; Fabales; Fabaceae
Description: long non-coding RNA (LJAP_LNC001951)
Source: RNAcentral